RNAcentral lists this ribosomal RNA (463 nucleotides) under uncultured bacterium. RNAcentral describes it as "SSU rRNA". It matches the Rfam family "Bacterial small subunit ribosomal RNA", at positions 26 to 518 of the family's 1533-position model. The record is from RNAcentral.
AGGACUAACGCUGGCGGCGUGCCUAACACAUGCAAGUCGAACGAGGUAGCAAUACCUAGUGGCAGACGGGUGAGUAACGCGUGGUCAACCUACCUCUUAGUGGGGGAUAACUAGCCGAAAGGUUAGCUAAUACCGCAUACGAUCGUCGCGAGGCAUCUCGUGACGAUGAAAGGAGCAAUUCGCUAAGAGAGGGGACUGCGUCCCAUUAGUUAGUUGGUGGGGUAAUGGCCCACCAAGACUCCGAUGGGUAGCUGGCUUGAGAGAGCGACCAGCCACACUGGAACUGAGACACGGUCCAGACUCCUACGGGAGGCAGCAGUGAGGAAUUUUCCGCAAUGGGCGCAAGCCUGACGGAGCGACGCCGCGUGUGGGAAGAAGGCCUUCGGGUCGUAACCACUGUCGAAGGGGACGAUAUUGACGGUACCCUUGGAGGAAGCCCGGCUAACUACGUGCCAGCAGCCGC